GAUGAACGCUAGCUACAGGCUUAACACAUGCAAGUCGAGGGGAAACGACAUCGAAAGCUUGCUUUUGAUGGGCGUCGACCGGCGCACGGGUGAGUAACGCGUAUCCAACCUGCCCACCACUUGGGGAUAACCUUGCGAAAGUAAGACUAAUACCCAAUGACGUCUCUAGAAGACAUCUGAAAGAGAUUAAAGAUUUAUCGGUGAUGGAUGGGGAUGCGUCUGAUUAGCUUGUUGGCGGGGUAACGGCCCACCAAGGCGACGAUCAGUAGGGGUUCUGAGAGGAAGGUCCCCCACAUUGGAACUGAGACACGGUCCAAACUCCUACGGGAGGCAGCAGUGAGGAAUAUUGGUCAAUGGGCGAGAGCCUGAACCAGCCAAGUAGCGUGCAGGAUGACGGCCCUAUGGGUUGUAAACUGCUUUUAUGCGGGGAUAAAGCGGGCGACGUGUCGCCCCUUGCAGGUACCGCAUGAAUAAGGACCGGCUAAUUCCGUG
RNAcentral lists this ribosomal RNA (492 nucleotides) under uncultured bacterium. RNAcentral's name for it is "bacterial SSU rRNA". It matches the Rfam family "Bacterial small subunit ribosomal RNA", at positions 28 to 507 of the family's 1533-position model. The record is from RNAcentral.